Non-coding RNA from Nelumbo nucifera (sacred lotus), 2881 nucleotides. NCBI's taxonomy places the organism in Eukaryota, Viridiplantae, Streptophyta, Magnoliopsida, Proteales, Nelumbonaceae. The record is from RefSeq and is a predicted model, not a curated record.
AAAAGCAAAGGGAAAGGAUUACUGGUUUCAUUGACCCGAUACCAGAGACUCUCAGAGAGUUUUCCUUUUAGUUUGAGGGCACGAGACGAGACUAUUCUUCCUUCCGUUCCAGUCCUCCCCUCCCUAGUCCCUCCCGGUUAUUCAUUACAUGACCAAAUGUUCUGGUGUGAGAUUCCCUAAACCUAAACGCUAAACCCCCAGCCAGGAAGGAAGAGGGAGAAGGUUGUGCAAACAUGCGUACCCAGAAGGAUCCGUGGUUCUUUCUCUCCGUUCUUUUUCUCUGCUUCUUUCUCAAGGCCCAUCCCUCCAACGGAGCUGCUUCCAUCUCUGCUGGCCAAUCUCUUUCCGGAAACCAGACUAUAGUUUCUGAAAAAGGUAACUUUGAACUGGGUUUCUUCAGGCCAGGUACUUCGUCGUCUCAGAACUACUACAUAGGCAUCUGGUACAAACAAGUCUCUGCUCAGACCAUAGUUUGGGUAGCAAAUCGAGAGAACCCCGUCUCUGAUAUUAAUUCUUCAGAGCUUAAAAUUUUAGAAGAUGGCAAUCUGGCCCUCUUCGACCAGUCCAAAAUCCUAGUUUGGACGACAAAUUUGACCUCUGCACCCUCCAAUUCUACCGAGGCAGUGCUUCUUGACUCUGGAAAUCUUGUUUUGAGGGAUGGGUCGGAUUCAUCUAUUUGGGAGAGCUUUGAUCAUCCAACUCAUACAUGGCUUCCUGGUGGAAAGCUUUCAUUCAAUAAACGCACCAACAAAUCCCAGCUCCUUACCUCAUGGAGAAGUGAAGAUGAUCCCGCCCCUGGGAUCUUCUCUCUCGAGCUAGAUCCAACAGGAACCAAUCAAUAUAUCAUACUGUGGAACGGGUCUCUACAAUACUGGGAAAGUGGGCCUUGGAAUGGACAUAUUUUCAGCAAAGUUCCUGAGAUGAGAUCAAAUUAUAUCUACAAUUUCAGCUACGAAGAUAACGUGAACCAGAGUUACUUCACCUAUAGUGUUUAUGAUAGCUCUCUUAUUUCGAGAUUCGUGAUGGAUUUAUCGGGGCAGAUCAAACAACUCACGUGGCUGGAAGACCAAUCGAAGUGGAAUUUGUUUUGGUCUCAACCAAGACAACAGUGUGAAGUUUAUAAGCUUUGUGGCACUUUUAGUACCUGCAACCAGCAAGGCUUACCCUUCUGUGGAUGUUUGCCUGGUUUUGAAGUAAAUUCUGUAAGAGAUUGGAAUCUAAGCGAUCGGUCUGGUGGGUGUCGGAGGAGAACCCCCUUGCAAUGCAACGAUACUACUGCUGUUAAUGGGAAGAAAGAUAUCUUCUCACGGAUGGCCAACGUAAAAUUGCCAUUAAAUUCGCAGUCUGUGGCAGCUGAGAUUCUGGGAGCCUGUGAGUUAGCUUGCUUGAACAGCUGCUCUUGUACUGCUUAUUCUUUUGGUAAUGGUAGGUGCUCAAUAUGGUAUGGAGAUCUCUUUAACCUGCAACAACUAUCAGACAGUGAGAGUCGUGGAGAUGAUUUCUAUCUCAGACUUGCUGCAUCUGAGAUUCCAAGUUCUGGUAGCAAGAAGGGAACACCAAUUGGGGUUAUUGUGGGUGCGGUUAUUGGUUUUGUAAUCAUCUUUGCCUUUGUUUUGGUGCUAGUCUGGAGAAGGAAGAGGAGCGGAUCGGUUGGAUUGUCAAAUGCGCUCGAGGGUUCUUUGAUUCCUUUUGGGUACAGAGACUUGCAGAAUGCGACCAAGAACUUCUCAGAAAAAUUGGGAGGAGGAGGUUUCGGUUCUGUUUUUAAAGGUACAUUGCCCGAUGGAGCUAUCAUAGCUGUGAAGAAGCUUGAAGGCCUCCAUCAAGGAGAGAAGCAGUUCAGGACAGAGGUGAGCACGAUUGGGGCGAUUCAACAUGUUAAUCUUGUUCGUCUUCGGGGCUUUUGCUCUGAAGGCACUAGAAGGUUGCUUGUGUAUGAUUACAUGCCAAAUGGCUCUUUAGAUUUUCAUCUGUUUCGUGAAGAGUCUGGAACUUUAGACUGGAAGACCAGAUACCAGAUUGCACUUGGAACUGCUAGGGGAUUAGCUUAUCUACAUGAGAAAUGCAGAGAUUGCAUCAUACACUGUGAUAUCAAGCCGGAGAACAUACUUUUGGAUUUAGAAUUCUGUCCCAAAGUGGCAGAUUUUGGUUUGGCAAAGCUUAUUGGGCGGGAAUUCAGCCGGGUUCUGACAACCAUGAGAGGAACCAGAGGAUACCUUGCACCAGAGUGGAUUUCAGGUGUGGCUAUAACAGUUAAAGCUGAUGUUUAUAGUUAUGGCAUGAUGCUUUUUGAAAUUAUUUCAGGAAGGAGAAACUCCGAGCAAUCAGAAGAUGGAAAGGUUAGGUUCUUUCCCACUUGGGCUGCAAGACAAGUAAGCGAAGGUGAGGAAGUCCUUGGCAUGUUGGAUCACAGACUAGGGGGUGAUGCCAAUGUGGAAGAACUCAAUAGAGUCUGCAGAGUUGCUUGUUGGUGCAUCCAAGAUAACGAAAUUCAUAGGCCAUCAAUGGGUCAAGUAGUUCAGAUACUUGAAGGGGUUUUGGAGGUGAAUACCCCUCCAGUCCCAAGAUCUCUCCAAGUUCUUGUGGACAACCAAGAAAAUAUAAUUUUCUACUCCGAGUCAUCUUCUAACCACAGUCAUCAAGCACAGAGCAAUACAUCCAAUUCUUCCUCUCAAUCAAAGCAGACCACCUCAUCAACAGAUUCCAAGUCGUGAGUAUUGCAGAUGUUGUCAAAAUAUUUAUAGCAUUUAAUCAUGGUGAGUUACGUGCAGUAUUAUUACCUCAAAACCAGGAGAUCUAAACUUCGGCUAGCUAAGACGGAAGGCCCAACUCGAGGAGUUCGAGGGUCAAAGGAUGGAUCCAGAGACUACUACCUCUGACC